This is an unclassified non-coding RNA of Macaca fascicularis (crab-eating macaque), 117 nucleotides long. It matches the Rfam family "Metazoan signal recognition particle RNA". Rfam says of the family: The signal recognition particle (SRP) is a universally conserved ribonucleoprotein. It is involved in the co-translational targeting of proteins to membranes. NCBI's taxonomy places the organism in Eukaryota, Metazoa, Chordata, Mammalia, Primates, Cercopithecidae. The record is from Ensembl.
GCCAGGCGCGGUGGCUCACGCCCGUAAUCCCAGCUCUUUGGGAGGCUGAGGUGGGUGGAUCACCUGAGGUCAGGAGUUCUCGACCAGCCUGGCCAAUAUGGUGAAACCCCAUCUCUA